UAUCCGGAUUUAUUGGGUUUAAAGGGAGCGUAGGCGGACGCUUAAGUCAGUUGUGAAAGUUUGCGGCUCAACCGUAAAAUUGCAGUUGAUACUGGGUGUCUUGAGUACAGUAGAGGCAGGCGGAAUUCGUGGUGUAGCGGUGAAAUGCUUAGAUAUCACGAAGAACUCCGAUUGCGAAGGCAGCUUGCUGGACUGUAACUGACGCUGAUGCUCGAAAGUGUGGGUAUCAAACAGGAUUAGAUACCCUGGUAGUCCACACAGUAAACGAUGAAUACUCGCUGUUUGCGAUAUACGGUAAGCGGCCAAGCGGAAGCGUUAAGUAUUCCACCUGGGGAGUACGCCGGCAACGGUGAAACUCAAAGGAAUUGACGGGGGCCCGCACAAGCGGAGGAACAUGUGGUUUAAUUCGAUGAUACGCGAGGAACCUUACCCGGGCUUGAAUUGCAACUGAAUGAUGUGGAGACAUGUCAGCCGCAAGGCAGUUGUGAAGGUGCUGCAUGGUUGUCGUCAGCUCGUGCCGUGAGGUGUCGGCUUAAGUGCCAUAACGAGCGCAACCCUUAUCGAUAGUUACCAUCAGGUUAUGCUGGGGACUCUGUCGAGACUGCCGUCGUUAGAUGUGAGGAAGGUGGGGAUCCACUUCAAAUCAGCACGGCCCUUACGUUCCGGGGCUACACCCGUGUUACAAUGGGGG
This 691-nucleotide ribosomal RNA is filed under the name uncultured bacterium. Its description in RNAcentral is "bacterial SSU rRNA". It matches the Rfam family "Bacterial small subunit ribosomal RNA", at positions 542 to 1236 of the family's 1533-position model. The record is from RNAcentral.